CUCUUCCUCCUAACCUCCCAUCUAUUACAAACCUGGUGGUUAAGCAUUUAUCUGCUCACCACUGAAUAGUGCUGAAAAGAAGGUGGGAGAGUUCUUCCCUUAACAUUUUCAAGACUUUAGUAAACUUUGGGAACUUAUAAGCUGUAUGUCUUCAAUGUAUUUUAUAUUCUAAAGAAACCAGUGAAAAAUGGUCAAGUUCUAAGGCUAAGGUGACACAGGGUAAAUGACAUAUCAAGGUAUAUGAUACAGGAAUAGUGGAUGAGAGUAGACUACAAGCAAUGUUGGGAAUGUGUUGAAAUUGUAAGAAGGGCUUUAUACUCUCUAGGGCUAAAAUAAGGGUUCAUUGAUGAGCCCCUAAAUUAUAAUAUUCAUUCAGUAAAACAUUUAAAGGUAUUAUAUUACAUUAAUCA
Molecule: long non-coding RNA, 410 nt
Filed under: Bos taurus (domestic cattle)
Lineage: Eukaryota; Metazoa; Chordata; Mammalia; Artiodactyla; Bovidae
Description: long non-coding RNA NONBTAT000973
Source: RNAcentral